This 492-nucleotide ribosomal RNA is filed under the name uncultured bacterium. RNAcentral's name for it is "partial 16S ribosomal RNA". It matches the Rfam family "Bacterial small subunit ribosomal RNA", at positions 29 to 507 of the family's 1533-position model. The record is from RNAcentral.
AGUGAACGCUGGCGGUAGGCCUAACACAUGCAAGUCGAACGGCAGCACAGUAAGAGCUUGCUCUUACGGGUGGCGAGUGGCGGACGGGUGAGGAAUACAUCGGAAUCUACUUUUUCGUGGGGGAUAACGUAGGGAAACUUACGCUAAUACCGCAUACGACCUACGGGUGAAAGCAGGGGAUCUUCGGACCUUGCGCGAUUGGAUGAGCCGAUGUCGGAUUAGCUAGUUGGCGGGGUAAAGGCCCACCAAGGCGACGAUCCGUAGCUGGUCUGAGAGGAUGAUCAGCCACACUGGAACUGAGACACGGUCCAGACUCCUACGGGAGGCAGCAGUGGGGAAUAUUGGACAAUGGGCGCAAGCCUGAUCCAGCCAUGCCGCGUGGGUGAAGAAGGCCUUCGGGUUGUAAAGCCCUUUUGUUGGGAAAGAAAAGCAGCAGGUUAAUACCCCGCUGUUCUGACGGUACCCAAAGAAUAAGCACCGGCUAACUUCGUG